GAACUGUGUUGUGGACACUUAUGCAAGAGUUCCUUGAACAUUUCCCAUGUCUCAAAUAGAGACUCCAAUUCCAACCCGUGAUAAAGUGAUGAGAUCUCAUUCCUAAGUUU
Small nucleolar RNA from Dioscorea cayenensis subsp. rotundata (Guinea yam), 110 nucleotides. NCBI's taxonomy places the organism in Eukaryota, Viridiplantae, Streptophyta, Magnoliopsida, Dioscoreales, Dioscoreaceae. The record is from RefSeq and is a predicted model, not a curated record.